RNAcentral lists this ribosomal RNA (454 nucleotides) under uncultured bacterium. RNAcentral's name for it is "bacterial SSU rRNA". It matches the Rfam family "Bacterial small subunit ribosomal RNA", at positions 29 to 477 of the family's 1533-position model. The record is from RNAcentral.
AGUGAACGCUGGCGGCAGGCCUAAUACAUGCAAGUCGAACGGCAGCACAGCAGAGCUUGCUCUGUGGGUGGCGAGUGGCGGACGGGUGAGGAAUACGUGGGAAUCUGCCCAGUCGUGGGGAUAACGUAGGGAAACUUACGCUAAUACCGCAUGCGCCCUUCGGGGGAAAGCCGGGGACCUUCGGGCCUGGCGCGAUUGGAUGAGCCCAGUCGGAUUAGCUAGUUGGCGGGUAAAGGCCACCAAGGCGACGAUCCGUAGCUGGUCUGAGAGGAUGAUCAGCCACACUGGAACUGAGACACGGUCCAGACUCCUACGGGAGCAGCAGUAGGGAAUAUUGGACAAUGGGCGCAAGCCUGAUCCAGCCAUGCCGCGUGAGUGAAGAAGGCCCUCGGGUGUAAAGCUCUUUUGUCCGGAAAGAAAAGCGCCGGGUUAAUACCCUGGUGUCCUGACGGUA